Molecule: long non-coding RNA, 235 nt
Filed under: Carica papaya (papaya)
Lineage: Eukaryota; Viridiplantae; Streptophyta; Magnoliopsida; Brassicales; Caricaceae
Description: long non-coding RNA (CPAP_LNC004849)
Source: RNAcentral
UUUUGGGCAUCUUCAAAUGUUGAAAUUGGAACCUGGCAAUGUGCCAUUGCACACAACCUAUUUCCCUUAUACCAAUUGGCUUGUGCAACUGGCCAGCAGGUCGUGCUGGCCCGACAGGCAGGAAAGCAUGCUGAGGGGCCUUCACGGAAGCCCACUUGGCCACAGGCCCAGCAUGAGGAAUUUCCUCUUAAGCUGGAUUUUCAGACAAGUUGGGCUGCUUGGGAAAUAAUCAUAA